GACGAACGCUGGCGGCGUGCUUAACACAUGCAAGUCGAACGCUGAAGCUCAGCUUUUGUUGGGUGGAUGAGUGGCGAACGGGUGAGUAACACGUGAGUAACCUGCCUCCUUCUUUGGGAUAACGCCCGGAAACGGGUGCUAAUACUGGAUAUUCACUGGUCUUCGCAUGGGGGUUGGUGGAAAGGGUUUUCUUGGGGGGGGUGGGCUCGCGGCCUAUCAGGUUGUUGGUGGGGUGAUGGCCUACCAAGGCUUUGACGGGUAGCCGGCCUGAGAGGGUGACCGGUCACAUUGGGACUGAGAUACGGCCCAGACUCCUACGGGAGGCAGCAGUGGGGAAUAUUGCACAAUGGGCGCAAGCCUGAUGCAGCGACGCCGCGUGAGGGAUGGAGGCCUUCGGGUUGUGAACCUCUUUCGCUCAUGGUCAAGCCGCAACAAUGGUUGUGGUGAGGGUAGUGGGUAAAGAAGCGCCGGCUAACUACGUG
This 482-nucleotide ribosomal RNA is filed under the name uncultured bacterium. Its description in RNAcentral is "partial 16S ribosomal RNA". It matches the Rfam family "Bacterial small subunit ribosomal RNA", at positions 28 to 507 of the family's 1533-position model. The record is from RNAcentral.